AUUGAACGCUGGCGGCAUGCCUUACACAUGCAAGUCGAACGGCAGCACGGGAGCAAUCCUGGUGGCGAGUGGCGAACGGGUGAGUAAUAUAUCGGAACGUGCCCGGUCGUGGGGAUAACGUAGCGAAAGCUACGCUAAUACCGCAUACGAUCUACGGAUGAAAGCGGGGGGAUCGCAAGACCUCGCGCGAUUGGAGCGGCCGAUAUCAGAUUAGGUAGUUGGUGAGGUAAAGGCUCACCAAGCCGACGAUCUGUAGCUGGUCUGAGAGGACGACCAGCCACACUGGGACUGAGACACGGCCCAGACUCCUACGGGAGGCAGCAGUGGGGAAUUUUGGACAAUGGGCGCAAGCCUGAUCCAGCAAUGCCGCGUGCAGGAUGAAGGCCUUCGGUUGGUAAACGUUAGACGUUUUGUUACGGUAACGGAAACGGUAGA
This 435-nucleotide ribosomal RNA is filed under the name uncultured bacterium. RNAcentral describes it as "bacterial SSU rRNA". It matches the Rfam family "Bacterial small subunit ribosomal RNA", at positions 30 to 472 of the family's 1533-position model. The record is from RNAcentral.